AACGAACGCUGGCGGCAUGCCUAACACAUGCAAGUCGAACGAGACCUUCGGGUCUAGUGGCGCACGGGUGCGUAACGCGUGGGAACCUGCCUUUAGGUUCGGAAUAACUCAGAGAAAUUUGAGCUAAUACCGGAUGAUGUCUUCGGACCAAAGAUUUAUCGCCUUUAGAUGGGCCCGCGUUGGAUUAGCUAGUUGGUGGGGUAAAGGCCUACCAAGGCGACGAUCCAUAGCUGGUCUGAGAGGAUGAUCAGCCACACUGGGACUGAGACACGGCCCAGACUCCUACGGGAGGCGGCAGUGGGGAAUAUUGGACAAUGGGCGAAAGCCUGAUCCAGCAAUGCCGCGUGAGUGAUGAAGGCCUUAGGGUUGUAAAGCUCUUUUACCCGAGAUGAUAAUGACAGUAUCGGGAGAAUAAGCUCCGGCUAACUCCGUG
This 433-nucleotide ribosomal RNA is filed under the name uncultured bacterium. Its description in RNAcentral is "partial 16S ribosomal RNA". It matches the Rfam family "Bacterial small subunit ribosomal RNA", at positions 29 to 507 of the family's 1533-position model. The record is from RNAcentral.